CUAAUGUUCUCUCUCUAGGCUCAGGGGGCCCUGCAAGGCAGCUCCAUGGUCCUUUCCAUUUUAUUGUAAGAGUUGGUGGAAAAUGAGAGGCGGCCAUUGUGUCUGACUGCGGAGGCAUUGUUCUUCCCCAGACGAGGCUGGCCUCUUUCUCAGCUCCCGGUUUCUGCUCCUCCAGCCAUGGCUAGCUUCUGAGGAGCAGCUGGACUAACUCAGAAUUGCCCCAAGGGUUACUUAAAACCAUGAAAAGAAAUUUUACUCUCCAAAAUGUAAAGUUACAAACUGCCCCCCAAACACCUUUUCUUGGCAGUCCCAGUUUGUACAGAACCUGUGUGUUCUGAUAGUAACGCAGCCGUGGCAACUCAACGACAAAGUGCUGGCUCGAACCUCAGCCCCCAGCCCCUAGCCCACUUUGUGAAAAGAAUUUCAUUGACCAUCAGAAUAUGUGGUGGUGGCAGUGGGGGAUAAAAUUGAAGCAGAAAAUGUCCCUUUACAUUUCAACCAUAAAACCAUCUGUUGCUGAGGACUGUGCAGAGAGAGGAUCCCUAAAUUUCGUUUGGACCUCAAAGCACCUGUGACUUCCUCUCUGAGAGGGUAAUAAGAGAGCCAGAAAAGCAGCUUUGAGUGAUUGGGGAUUACUUUUAAUGCCACUUCAGAAAUGGAAAACUGAUGAAAAACCAGUCCCUGAAGAGGAAAAAUCACAGCAAGUGGAACAUUCCCCCCAAAAUGCCUCCUGCCCAGGGUACUCUCCUCCCGCUUGUGUGACAGCCAGCAGUUGGGACAGCCUCCUUUUUCUCCUGCACCAAGUGGGGACGGUAAUACCACCUUCCAUGCAGGCCAGUUUUGAAGACUGAAUGAGAUAAUGCCUGUAGAACUACUUAGACUGGUACAAAAUAAACACAUUCACAAUGUCAACUAUUGUGCGUGCUGUCCCUGCGUGGUGACAGUACCACAGAGAGUGUUGUCCCCAUUGUAUCUGUCCAGUGCUUUGUGAGUGUGUGUUUGUUUUUAGUGGAAUGAAUUCUUUUCCUCAUUCAUGAGCAUAGAGGCUGAUAGAAAUUCCAGGCAAUCUGAUCUACCUCGAGGUCCCUCCCCUGGGCCCUCACACAAAGCCAGAAAACAUAAAUGAGUCCUUUCUCCCUGUCUGGCUUCUGGAGGCUGGCCAUAGGGCCUGAACGGCAUCCCUGCCAAGCUAACACAGGU
RNAcentral lists this long non-coding RNA (1200 nucleotides) under Homo sapiens (human). RNAcentral describes it as "HSALNT0347174". The record is from RNAcentral. Lineage: Eukaryota; Metazoa; Chordata; Mammalia; Primates; Hominidae.